Molecule: long non-coding RNA, 228 nt
Filed under: Nicotiana benthamiana
Lineage: Eukaryota; Viridiplantae; Streptophyta; Magnoliopsida; Solanales; Solanaceae
Description: long non-coding RNA (NBEN_LNC008902)
Source: RNAcentral
CUCGACGGUUCAAAGAUAUCAAAUCUACCGAUUGACUGAGUAUAUCCGACAUAUGCUCACUAAGGAAAGUUCAAAGAGAAAUCUACUUAUCCAGAUGCAAUUAAUCCUUGCUUACGAAUCACAAGUUUUUUGUCAUGCAUGUUUUUCAUCAUAUAGCCAUUCCCCAUUCAUGUGGGGGAUUGUUAAAGCUAGUUAAUGAUUAAAGCUAGCUAAGUUGGUGUGANNNNN